RNAcentral lists this unclassified non-coding RNA (21 nucleotides) under Mus musculus (house mouse). Its description in RNAcentral is "oocyte_clustered_small_RNA3636". The record is from RNAcentral. Lineage: Eukaryota; Metazoa; Chordata; Mammalia; Rodentia; Muridae.
UGUUUGAGUUUAUUUAAUAUC